Hyaena hyaena (striped hyena) is the source of this 105-nucleotide small nuclear RNA. The record is from RefSeq and is a predicted model, not a curated record. NCBI's taxonomy places the organism in Eukaryota, Metazoa, Chordata, Mammalia, Carnivora, Hyaenidae.
UAAAUAAAAUAAAACUUAACAAAAUAAAAUAGGAAUGAUACAGAGAAGAUGAGUUGGUCCCCGUGCAAAAAUGACAUGUAAAUUCGUGAAGCAUUCUAUAUUUUU